Long non-coding RNA from Alexandromys fortis (reed vole), 1415 nucleotides. RefSeq lists it as uncharacterized. The transcript has 3 exons. Lineage: Eukaryota; Metazoa; Chordata; Mammalia; Rodentia; Cricetidae. The record is from RefSeq and is a predicted model, not a curated record.
CGAGGAUCAACUGCCCACAAUUUCUGGCUGGGGCACCGGAGCCUCAGGAGCAAAGCCGGGGCUUUAGACAGACAUCAUACCUUCCCCAAAAUGGUCAUGAAUCGAGUUGAGCUAGCUGGAAGAGCAUUUAUGAGUUUGGAGCCGGAGAAGACAAUCUCAAGAAAACUUCCCAACCCUCGGUGGAUCACUCUCCCUUCAUUUCGGAUAAAGGUGAUUGCUGUAGGAAAUCCUACAGCCAGUAGCCUUUAAGUUACCUGCCCACUUGGGCGUGGCCUCUUAACUAUAAAUGCCGACUAAAGCAUGCAUCUGGCCUCUUUUCCGACUGUGGGAUUCAGUUGCGGUUCUCCAUUCCAGCAGAGGAUAUUGUUUUUGUGAACAGGCUGGGGUUCCCCGAGGUUAAGCACCCUGCCUUUGGAUCUACAUCUCAUGGCAGAGCUGGGCCAGAACCAGGAUGUCCUGGGACUGGAGCUCAUGGUGGGGGCAGUCAUCCUGCUUGAGCACCAGGCUUUUGAAAUGUGACACCAUCAAAAAACGCCCAGAGAUCUUCCAUGCUGGAGCGAGAACAGCUUUGCGUUCAGAUCAGGGAUCAGUUUUUGCAUUUGGAAAUCAAAGUAUCCGAACCCAGACAUCCUGACCUAUGUUCCACAAGGGGAGAAAUUGGAACAAACACGGGCUCUGGACUGACUUGGCUUAUUCAACUGUCAUGCCCAUGCAAGCUGGAAUAUCAGCCUGCUGCAGGGGACUGCCUGCUGGUGGGACGCCCUUGCCUGUUGGCACAUUCCUUGGCGAUUGUCUCCUCCUUACCAAAUGUAAACCCCACAAAGGACAAUGUUUGUUCCCCCUUUUUAAUGCAUACAUGAACCUUUAAUUGUUGUGUGGAGCUGCGGGCCACUUCCCUGCCGCCCCAGCUCCCGGCCGCCAGCUAGCUCUAGCUUAUAGCCCAAAAUAAUUACACGGAAACUGUAUUCUUUUAAACACUGCUUGGCCCAUUAGUUCCAGCCUCUUAUUGGCUAGCUCUUACAUAUUAAUCUAACCCAUUUCUAAUAAUCUGUGUAGCCCACGAGGUGGCUUACCAGGGAAGAUCUUAACCUGCGUCUGUCUGGAGUGGGAGAAUCAUGGCGACUCCUGACUCAACUUCUUUCUCCCAGCAUUCUGUUCUGUUUUCUCCACCCACCUAAGGGUUGGCCUAUUAAAUGGGCCUAGGCAGUUUCUUUAUUAGUUAACCAAUGAAAGCAACAGAUAAGAUCCAAGACCCACCUCCAUCAUCUAAUAGUGCCCAUUUUAGUUUGCUUCUCUGUUUUUGUGCUAAAACACUUUGACCAAAAUCAGUUUAGGGAAGGUAAGGGUUUAUUCAGCUUACACUUCCGGGUCAUACUUCAUCACUGAAGGAAGCCAGGGCAGGAACUCAAGCAGGA